GUUUGUUACGUCGGAUGUGAAAACCUGAGGCUCAACCUCAGGCCUGCAUUCGAUACGGGCAAACUAGAGUUUGGUAGGGGAGACUGGAAUUCCUGGUGUAGCGGUGGAAUGCGCAGAUAUCAGGAGGAACACCAAUGGCGAAGGCAGGUCUCUGGGCCAAUACUGACACUGAGGAGCGAAAGUCUGGGGAGCGAACAGGAUUAGAUACCCUGGUAGUCCAGACCGUAAACGGUGGGCACUAGUUGUGGGAACCUUCCACGGUUUCUGCGACGCAGCUAACGCAUUAAGUGCCCCGCCUGGGGAGUACGAUCGCAAGAUUAAAACUCAAAGGAAUUGACGGGGCCCCGCACAAGCAGCGGAGCAUGCGGCUUAAUUCGACGCAACGCGAAGAACCUUACCAAGGCUUGACAUAUAGGGAAAAGUGGCAGAGAUGUCAUGUCCGCAAGGGCUCUAUACAGGUGGUGCAUGGUUGUCGUCAGCUCGUGUCGUGAGAUGUUGGGUUAAGUCCCGCAACGAGCGCAACCCUCGUUCUGUGUUGCCAGCAUUUAGUUGGGGACUCACAGGAGACUGCCGGGGUUAACUCGGAGGAAGGUGGGGAUGACGUCAAAUCAUCAUGCCCCUUAUGUCUUGGGCUGCACGCAUGCUACAAUGGCCGGUACAGAGGGCUGCAAUACCGUAAGGUGGAGCGAAUCCCAAAAAGCCGGUCUCAGUUCGGAUUGAGGUCUGCAACUCGACCUCAUGAAGUUGGAGUUGCUAGUAAUCGUAGA
This 767-nucleotide ribosomal RNA is filed under the name uncultured bacterium. RNAcentral describes it as "bacterial SSU rRNA". It matches the Rfam family "Bacterial small subunit ribosomal RNA", at positions 578 to 1348 of the family's 1533-position model. The record is from RNAcentral.